This is a long non-coding RNA of Diprion similis, 207 nucleotides long. RefSeq lists it as uncharacterized. The record is from RefSeq and is a predicted model, not a curated record. NCBI's taxonomy places the organism in Eukaryota, Metazoa, Arthropoda, Insecta, Hymenoptera, Diprionidae. The transcript has 4 exons.
UGAGUCGGAGCUGUGGCUCUAAAAAUUCAAAGACUCCCUUUCUGCUAUCUGGCAUUUGCCCACAGUCUCAAGGUAAACCACAGAAAACCUUGAGCAGAUAGUCGAGCAUUGAACUGAAUUUUCAAAAUUUUAUGUGCCAUGUUUUCACAAAGGUCAGUGUAAAAAGUGUGUAGUGUAUAGCUUCUUGAAUUAGAGGACAUCAGAAUC